UGCGGGCCGGGAUGGCGCUGCCCACGCCGCGGUACGGGCACCUGGGCCCGCGGGGGCCCUUCGGGGACGUGUACGAGCCGGCCGAGGACACCUUCCUGCUGCUCGAUGCGCUGGAGCGGGACGCGGGCAGGCUGCGGGAGGCUGGAGUGGACAUCUGUCUUGAAAUAGGAUCUGGAUCGGGUGUGGUUUCAGCAUUUCUGGCUUCUUCUAUCCUUGGCCCCAGUGCACUGUACAUAUGCACAGAUAUCAACCCCAUGGCAGCUUACUGUACCCAGGAGACAGCUCUGCUUAACAAUGUUCACCUGCAGCCUGUCAUUACUGACUUGGUCAAAGGAUUGUCCCCAAGAUUAAAUGGGAAGGUUGAUCUACUGCUGUUUAACCCACCAUAUGUGGUAACACCUUCUGAAGAGGUGAAAAGCCAUGGAAUAGAGGCCUCCUGGGCUGGGGGCAAACAGGGCAGAGAAGUAAUGGAUAGAGUUUUCCCAUUAGUACCAGACCUGCUUUCACCAGGAGGACUGUUCUACUUGGUCACAAUUAAGGAAAAUAAUCCAGAUGAAAUUCUGGAAACAAUGAAGAAAAGUGGCUUAAAAGGCACACAAGUACUUUCCAGGCAAGCAGGACAAGAGAUGCUGACAAUCCUCAGAUUUAAGAAGUCUUGAUAACUUCUCUUCACCUGCCAGGAUCAGCAUUCUCAGCAUGGAUCACUUUGGCCAUGAUUAAGGACCAGAGCCUUCCACAUCCCUCUGACCUUCAGAGAAGAAGAAGGAGCCUGGUUAAAGUAUACAGAUGCUCAGAGUUCACCACAAAAGCAUUUGGAGGAAGUUUGGAUCUGUGCACAGAUGGAAAUAUAGUGGCACUUUAUACAAUGCAAAAUGUGAAGGCAGAGUUGUUUCACUUGCUCUCACAUACCUGUCAAAUAUUUUGCUGCUGUACUACUCAGGGUACUGAACUUCUCCUCUCUUCAAACAUAUGAAGAUGUUUCAGCAGCAGACAAGGAGGAUUCUCCAAUUCUUCAAUCCCUUGUAACGAGCACAGCAGUUCUGCAACUCAUUGAACACCUUCCCUGAGCUUCAGAGAAGGCUUCUCAAGGAACGGUGGAAAAAAUUAUUUUAGAGAUUGUACGUAUUUAUAUUGCCAUUGGGAUUUUUUGAGGAGUGCAAUUUUGCAAAUAGAAAUUGAAUUUUGGUCAUUUUCACUUUUUUUCACCCCCUAGUUUAAGGAAACACUAAUGUAGUUUUUCUGUGUACUGGAGGAUUUUCUGGGGCUCUCAUUGUUUUGUCUGUGGAUAGCUUUGCAACAUACAAAGCUUAAAUUAGUUGGCUUCAACUCCCAGCUUACUUUUGGCCAAAAAAAACCUCCAAACAAGUUUAGAAGGGGUAAGAUGGAAGCACAUUAAAAAAUAUUUCCAUCGUGGUUCUGUAGAGACUGACUUGCAAGACUUUUGUUUGUGUAAUGCUCCUAUAAACAUUAUUUUGAUAUUUGUAGUAAUUUGUGUCAUUUUAGCAGUGCUUUAUCACUGGAGGAUACUGGGCACAGUCCAGUCCUCACAUCAGCCCAAAUUAGCAGAGCCUCAUACUCAAAAACUGUGGCCAUUCAAAGUUGAAAGUGGGAUGAUAAUGUGGUUAAGCUAAAUAAUUGCAGAUACACUGUCAAAUUAAGGAUAAUUUGACUGCAGACUGGACUUAGAGCUUGUAGGAUUUUCAGAUUUCAAGCUCAGGGUUGAAUGCUACCAAAACCUUUGGCCAUGGUUCAAAAGUACUUUGUCCUCAGGUGCUGGAGUUUUUAUCUAGCCAAUUACUGAAUAUUUCUCAGUUAUUAUCAUCAUCCUCUUCAAUUAAAUUAGGAGGCUCUGCUAUAGUAAUAAAAUGAGACCCAUUAUCUCCAGGGUGCACUGAGCACUGCUUUGGUUUCUCUUCUCCACCUGUAAUGUGUAAUAGCUACAGACAGGUUUAAUUAUGAGGCCACAUCUUGUUGUAAACUUGAUAAUUGCUCUGAGCCAGCAUUACCCGAAGAAUGUACAGGAAUAUCCUUUUUAUCAGCAUGACUGCAGAAACCUUUAUUGUCUGGGCAUUGGAAAGAGAAGGUGAUCCUGGAGGGUUUCAAAAACAUCUCCCCUUCUCUGGCUCCCCUCACAGAGCAAUGAACAAAGCUGCAGGUUUUUUUGUUUUUUGAAAGGUGCUCCUGCAAGCGAGGUUUUGAUUUUACAAAAAGCAAGAUAGCAGAGAGGAGGGAUGCAAAUCAGGAUUUUUAAACUUUGUCAGUGCUUCUGCAUGACUAAUUCAGCAUCAAUCAGUUAAGAAGUUAAAAAAAUUCACUAUUCACACAACAAUCUGCACUUUAAGGGAUGAUUGUUUCAGCUGCUUGUUCUCAGCAUCUUCAUAAGGACAAUUUGGAUUUUGUGUGUUCCUUUCUCAGCAUGUCUUUAAGAUAUUUUUCCCCUAAAUAUUUUUAAGACAUUGAAGCACUUAGCUGAACCUUCCCAAAAACUUCUGCCCAAGCAAAGUUUCUUCAUAAUGUUAGAACCAAAUUGAAGGCAAACAGGAAUUUUGUAUAUAGCAAUUGUCACCUCUGCUUCUGAUGGAAAUGCUUACCAAAGUCUAAAUUAUCAGGAUUUUUUUCCCAGAGUAAUAUUUUGGAGAAAAUAAUGGAACAACUUCAUUUUUCUAUCAAAAAUUUUGUGUUUGGAUGGAGUGUGUGAUCAGGAGAAUCCUACUGAUGUUUGUGAGGAACUGAAAAAGCCUGACAAAAAUUCCAGUCCAGCCUAAAUGGAAAAUAUUUAUGGAAGAAAACUCCUUGAGUAUAACUGCACACACAGCAGGGCUCCACUUGACCCAAAACACUCGUACCACAAAUUGCAUUUUUGUGCACUGAAGACACCUGGUGGCUGCAUCCACAGCCAGCUCAGAGAGAAAAAUUGGUUUUUCAGGGAAGUUUUUCCUCUUGUUGAGACUUAAUUACAAUCUUAAGCCAUUCUGUUUUUAUUAUAUCAUUAAGAUACAAAUUAGAUCUUUUUGAUCUCCAAAUGGUAAUUUUUUGUUUUUUGUUUUUUUGACUCAGUCCAUGGAUUUGAGACACUGCAAGAGUCUAGUUUUGCUUUAAAAGCAUGUUUCAAGGGAUAGUAAAUGCUAAAUAAAUAUAAAAUAAGUAUUUGUCAAAGUAAGGAAUGAGAGUCCUAAUCCUAAACUGUAUAAUUAGGAAAGGGAGAUGCAGAAAGAGAUGCCACCUGAUGGGCACUGAUGUGCACUGUAGUAGCUCAGUGAUGUCUUUGCUGAUCCUAACAGACAUCAGGUAUUUAAAAACCUUCAUUCAGUGCAACUGAAUUCGAAGAACUAAAUCAAUUUAAACACAACUAGCACAGUUCUCUGUGGUGGAUAUGAUUAUUUUGGAGGAAGAGGCUCCAAAAUAUGGGGUGAAAUUCAGAUCUGAGGAUUGCUAUAAAUAGAAACUUUUUUUAUCUGAUUCAGCCCCCUCUGUCAUGGCUGCUGCUACUUUACUGAAUGCAAGUGAAAAGAAAAACCCAACCAUAAUCUAUGCAAUGUUCUUUCUGUCCCACCUCAGUUUUGCUUCUGACAAGACCACUGUUCUAUUUCAGGGCUGCAUUUUUCCUGUUUGCAGGAAACCACAGAGUGAGACACAGCGUUCUGAGAAUGGGCUCCAGGAAGUCUGCUGAAAAUUACCUUUUAACACUGCAUGAAGGAGGCUUUAGUGUCUUAAAGGAAUUCCUUUGGAUUGCUAUAUAUAAACUGCUGCGAAACUCUGCUGGGGAAAGGAAGCUGGACAACUGCCUCCACCCUUGGGAGUUAAAGCAUCCUUAUGCCAUUGUACCCGUGGAGAGGGAGGAUUCCUGUACUCCCAGGAGAUGCUUGGCACCUCUCUGAACCCAGAGCAUCUCCAGGAGAUCUAGAGCAGGCAGAGGCCAGUUGUAUUCCAGCACUUUGCAUAGUACUCCCUCAUUUAAUUCAAAACCUUUAUAGAACACUUGUGUCAGGUGAACUAUUUGGCAUCAUCAUUUGGAAUAGCUUAGUAAAUCUAGUUUACUAGAUUUUGGAGAGAGUAACAGUAUUGAAAUUCUUUGAUUUCCCAUUUUGCUUUUUGCUAGUCCAAUAGAUGUGGCCAUGGCACAGAGUAAGAAAUACUGCCCAGGUCUGUAAUUCCAGUAUAAAUUCAAAGUGUAUGUGCCUUCCUACUUGUGCUUACAAGUAAUGAAGAGCCUUUGCAGUAACUGCUUUAAAAACUAUUUUAAUCACUUCACCUCCCUUGACUGAAAGGCUGAUGACAAGGCCAGAGGUGUAAAGGACCUUUGGGGAAAGAUGGAGCAGCCUCUUCUCCUGUGCUCAAUGAAAAAACCUUCCCAACUCCUGAAUUUACUGCCUCUGCCAUCCCCAAUAUAGAUUUAGCUUAGUCCUGCUAGUAGGAAAAAGGCAUUAAUUUUCUCUGCUAAGAACUUGGUCCAGCAUAAGUUUCACUUGACAGCAGCUGCACUGCAAACCACACUCAGUUACUGGUUUGUCUACUCAGCUUUCAAAUAUUGGCACUGAAAUGGAAGGGGGCAUGUGAAACCAAGACAAAGGGACAGUGAUUUUAGAAAAGCAGACAUGGCAAACCUGCAGAACUCCCAGCCUUAUGAGAAUAGUGGAGUUCAGAGGUAGGUACAACAGACUGGCUA
RNA transcript from Ficedula albicollis (Collared flycatcher), 4666 nucleotides. It is a transcript of the gene named N-6 adenine-specific DNA methyltransferase 1 (putative), with no coding region annotated. The transcript has 8 exons. The record is from RefSeq and is a predicted model, not a curated record. NCBI's taxonomy places the organism in Eukaryota, Metazoa, Chordata, Aves, Passeriformes, Muscicapidae.